RNAcentral lists this ribosomal RNA (500 nucleotides) under uncultured bacterium. RNAcentral's name for it is "partial 16S ribosomal RNA". It matches the Rfam family "Bacterial small subunit ribosomal RNA", at positions 30 to 523 of the family's 1533-position model. The record is from RNAcentral.
AUUGAACGCUGGCGGCAUGCCUUACACUUGCAAGUCGAACGGCAGCACGGGAGCAAUCCUGGUGGCGAGUGGCGAACGGGUGAGUAAAGUAUCGGAACGUGCCCAGUCGUGGGGGAUAACGUAGCGAAAGUUACGCUAAUACCGCAUACGAUCUAUGGAUGAAAGCGGGGGAUCGCAAGACCUCGCGCGAUUGGAGCGGCCGAUAUCAGAUUAGGUAGGUGGUGGGGUAAAGGCUCACCAAGCCGACGAUCUGUAGCUGGUCUGAGAGGACGACCAGCCACACUGGGACUGAGACACGGCCCAGACUCCUACGGGAGGCAGCAGUGGGGAAUUUUGGACAAUGGGCGAAAGCCUGAUCCGGCCAUGCCGCGUGCAGGAUGAAGGCCUUCGGGUUGUAAACUGCUUUUGUACGGAACGAAAAGGUUUGGCCUAAUAAGCUGAGCUCAUGACGGUACCGUAAGAAUGAGCACCGGCUAACUACGUGCCAGCAGCCGCCGUAA